Long non-coding RNA from Prionailurus viverrinus (fishing cat), 2220 nucleotides. RefSeq lists it as uncharacterized. Lineage: Eukaryota; Metazoa; Chordata; Mammalia; Carnivora; Felidae. The record is from RefSeq and is a predicted model, not a curated record. The transcript is spliced from 4 exons.
CCCUCUGAAACCUGUGUUCCUGAGCUUCACCCCACAGUCUCCAAGGUAAAAAACGUGAGCUUGCAUUAACUUCUUCAAACUUCUCUCUAACCCAGGAGUUUCCUCAAGCCUCCAGAAGGGACUCAGGAAAGCAUGGAUUCUGGCAAGAACUCAAUCAAGCAAUGGUCAAUUCACAUCAAGAGGUGAGAUACCUGGACAAUGGUAACACCCUACUGGCAUGCCUCUGCUCCAGGAAAACAGAGGCCCUUGCCAAUGUUCUCUCCUGGGAAAAUAGAAGCUCAGUAACUUGGCAAGAGAGUUUGGCAUCACUGAGAUCUUCAAGGAAUGGAAAGGAGGAAUCAACUGUCUGGCAAAUCUGGAAACAGGAACAGCCACCAAAGCAAACCUCACCUCAUUCUUGUUGGGAUAUGCCUGUGUCUGGUCUCCGCUCCACCAUGGGUUACAGGACUUUCCCCCUGAGAAGGAGACCUGCUAUUUCAGAGAGACAACUUUACUAGACAGGUUUCCCAAGUGAUGCAACCUGACAAGUUCUCCAAUCUGUAGAUGCCACUCAUCUUUACUGCAAUUAACUGCGGUCAAGGUACCAGGCUCAUGAAAUGAGAAAAGUCCUUUUUGUGAUCACUUCUGCCAUUAGGGGGAGGGACUUUUGGGAAGGGACAUGUUACCUCAGGAAUUUUCAAUUGAACAUGAUUCAUCAAUUUCACACAGAGACAUCAAGUCCAGGAAGAGAAGCUAACAAAUAAUCUUGCACUCAAGGAACUUAUCUUUGUCAACUCUGUGGUCCAAUUUCUCAUAGAUCUUAAUCAGCAGAAGGCCUUUAAUAAGUGAUUUGUGAAUGAAUGGAAAGUCUGGAUGAAGAAAUAUAUGCUGGAAUCAGUGGCUUUCGCAAGAGGAAGGUGGCAGUGUAUUAAGUACGAGGGAACUGUCUUUGGCAGAAGGCCAAUCCUUUGGGAAUGAGGUCUUCUUAAUGAAAAAUUCUGCAAACCUGUUUCAAUUCACACAUUCAUUCAACAAAUAGUUAUUGGGUGCCCUUUAAUGUUCUCAGGUCACCUUCCCAAAAUAACUGCAAUGAAAAUGUUUUCCACUUUUUCCUCUUCAUCUAGAAAGAUCUAUUUUAAACGAUGGGAUUGUGGAUUUGAGCACUGCUUUUUGAACACAGUCACGAAUCCAGGCAUUUGGUCCAGGCAGUGCCGGGAGGAGAAUGGGUAAUGAUUUUAACAGAGCCUGCUGCAAACGCCUACUCGUUCUUCCACAAGCAACUAAUCUUAGGUCUCAGCAAUGCAAUAUCCCAGUGAAUAGAGGGAUGAAAUGGACUAAGAGGUGAAAUGCUGCCAACAACAGAAGCCAGAAGUACCUCACUCUUCAAGGAUCUCUCACUGGUGUCAGCUUGGGUCAGAAUGGUGUUGCAGUGGGCUGGUGCUGGGUGCUACUCUGACCUCUUUGCCAGGGGCCAGGAUGAGAGCUGGUGCUGAUAGCUCUUAACGUAAUGCCUGGGCAAUUUCCUUUUGAAUAGAAAAGGAAAUGGGUGAAAAUGCUCUCAUAUGUGCUUUUAGUAAUGAUGUGCAGAGAAUUUUAAACAAGACUGUAAAGGUUUAACUUUAAUAAUUCAUCAAUCAAGACACCAACUACAUGCUUGGCAGUAGGUAAAGACCCAAGCGAAAUCAACACAGGACCCUGUCUUUAAAAGCUUUACAUUUUUACUGGUGGUUACCAAAGAAAAUGAUCAAUGGAUAAAAAGAAUCCAGAACAGAAAAAUGGUAUCAGUAUUGACGAGCAGAAGAGUAUAGCAGACAGGAAGGCAGACUGUGGAGGAAAGUGGCUGAGUAGCCUGGGUUCAAAUCUCAGCUCCAGCACUUAAUAACAAAAUAGACCAAGGCAGUUUAUUUAACCUUUGUGCAAUUUUCUCAUUUAAACUAUGAGAAUAAUAUGAGUACUUCAAAUCAGAACAGAUGAAGUGUUUAGAAAUGUGAGUAGCAUGUGGUUAGGAAUGACUGUUAGCUAUUAUUAGGGCAAUUGAGAUGUAGAGGGAUAUUAUUUUGGUUGAUUAUUUUUUCUCAUCAAAUAGUCUUCCUGUAUCAUUAUCUUCCUGUUAGAAUUUGGUUGAUCUGAGGAACUUUACUGAGUUAACAUAAUCUGUUAUGGUACAUCAAGACCACUGGUCUGGAAUUCUGGCAGCAGGGAUUCACUAUCUCCAUGGCCUCCAGAUAGAUGAAGAGUUGU